GGCCCCUUCGUCUAAGGGUUAGGACAGCAGCCUCUCACGUUGUAAAUACGGGUUCGAAUCCCGUAGGGGUCACCA
Molecule: transfer RNA, 75 nt
Filed under: Myxococcaceae bacterium
Lineage: Bacteria; Pseudomonadati; Myxococcota; Myxococcia; Myxococcales; Myxococcaceae
Description: tRNA-Glu
Rfam family: tRNA
About the family: Transfer RNA (tRNA) molecules are approximately 80 nucleotides in length.
Source: RNAcentral